Molecule: long non-coding RNA, 687 nt
Organism: Acyrthosiphon pisum (pea aphid)
Lineage: Eukaryota; Metazoa; Arthropoda; Insecta; Hemiptera; Aphididae
Exons: 4
Source: RefSeq, a predicted model, not a curated record
AUGUAGAAUAUAUAGACACAUAUAGUUAGGUAACUCUACGUUGUGUAUUAUUCAUAACUAAUUUUUAAUUUGUUAUUUGUAUUUUUGUCGUAUGUUGUUUCCAGAAUAGUUUAGUUUAUGCUAUUCAAAAUGAUGAAAUACCUUGUUCUCACUAAGCAGUGUAUAAUUUUACAUGACUAUGUCCAUGGAAGUGCUAUAAUAAUGAUGCCACUAUCUCUCAAUUUCUGUUUGGCUAACUUCGUCUAAACCGCAACACUAGGUGAUUAUCACAUUUUUGAUUUCUACACAUCAAAAUAAAUUGAUUUAUGAACACUAUAAGAUUAAUGUUUAAUGGAAACAUCCACAUAGUGAUUUCCAUGAAAAUCAAUGAAUAACUUUUCCAUUAUGUUUGCAACUUUGAUUAAUUUACUGGAUGGAUAUGUCAAUCCUCCUUUAGACAGAUAUCUAAUCCAAUUUUCAUCAUUGGUGGUUGGCUGUUCUGAUACCAUUAGAGGAUAUUUUUUAGAAAAUUUAGAUGCAACAUAUCCUACGACAUAUUGUAAACCUUCCUUCUCAAGGCCAUUGAAGGAAUCAUUGUCAUUCAUGUCAAAGGCCUUAUAUACCUCAGAUUCAAACUGAUUUAACAAAUCCAUAUAAGACUUUGAAAUUUGAAUAUUGCUUGUUCCAAAAGUUGAUUCAAUUUGAGCC